RNAcentral lists this ribosomal RNA (450 nucleotides) under Babesia vulpes. RNAcentral's name for it is "SSU rRNA". It matches the Rfam family "Eukaryotic small subunit ribosomal RNA", at positions 561 to 1030 of the family's 1831-position model. The record is from RNAcentral. Lineage: Eukaryota; Apicomplexa; Aconoidasida; Piroplasmida; Babesiidae.
CUGGUGCCAGCAGCCGCGGUAAUUCCAGCUCCAAUAGCGUAUAUUAAAGUUGUUGCAGUUAAGAAGCUCGUAGUUGAAUUUCUGCCUUAUCAUUAAUUUCGCUUCCGAACGUAAUUUUAUUGAUUUGGCAUCUUCUGGAUUAUAUAUUAUUUUUAAUAUAUUUUUCCAGUAUUUUACUUUGAGAAAACUAGAGUGUUUCAAACAGGCUUUUGCCUUGAAUACUACAGCAUGGAAUAAUGAAGUAGGACUAUUGGUUCUAUUUUGUUGGUUAUCGAACCAUAGUAAUGGUUAAUAGGAGCAGUUGGGGGCAUUCGUAUUUAACUGUCAGAGGUGAAAUUCUUAGAUUUGUUAAAGACGAACUACUGCGAAAGCAUUUGCCAAGGAUGUUUUCAUUAAUCAAGAACGAAAGUUAGGGGAUCGAAGACGAUCAGAUACCGUCGUAGUCCUAAC